RNAcentral lists this ribosomal RNA (440 nucleotides) under uncultured bacterium. Its description in RNAcentral is "partial 16S ribosomal RNA". It matches the Rfam family "Bacterial small subunit ribosomal RNA", at positions 338 to 795 of the family's 1533-position model. The record is from RNAcentral.
CCUACGGGCGGCAGCAGUGGGGAAUAUUGCACAAUGGGGGCAACCCUGAUGCAGCGACGCCGCGUGAGUGAAGAAGUAAUUCGUUAUGUAAAGCUCUAUCAGCAGGGACGAAAAUGACGGUACUUGAGUAAGAAUCCCCUGCUAACUACGUGCCAGCAGCCGCGGUAAUACGUCGGGGGAAAGCGUUAUCCGGAUUUACUGGGGGUAAAGGGAGCGUAGACGGCAGUGCAAGUCUUGUGUGAAAGGCGGGGGCUCAACCCCCGGACUGCUCUGGAGACUGUACGGCUGGAGUGCAGGAGAGGGAAGUGGAAUUCCGAGUGUAGCGGUGAAAUGCGUAGAUAUUAGGAGGAACACCAGUGGCGAAGGCGGCUUACUGGACAGUAACUGACGUUGAGGCUCGAAAGCGUGGGGAGCAAACAGGAUUAGAUACCCGUGUAGUC